This 263-nucleotide ribosomal RNA is filed under the name uncultured bacterium. Its description in RNAcentral is "partial 16S ribosomal RNA". It matches the Rfam family "Bacterial small subunit ribosomal RNA", at positions 524 to 786 of the family's 1533-position model. The record is from RNAcentral.
AACGUAGGGGGCGAGCGUUGUCCGGAAUUACUGGGUGUAAAGGGUGCGUAGGCGGCUUAGCAAGUCGUAUGUGAAAGUUGCCGGCUUAACCGGCGGAGUGCAUAUGAAACUGUUGAGCUUGAGUGCAGGAGAGGCAAGCGGAAUUCCUAGUGUAGCGGUGAAAUGCAUAGAUAUUAGGAGGAACACCAGUGGCGAAGGCGGCUUGCUGGACUGCAACUGACGCUGAGGCACGAAAGCGUGGGUAGCGAACAGGAUUAGAUACC